AUUGAACGCUGGCGGCAGGCCUAACACAUGCAAGUCGAGCGAGCGGCGGGCGGGUGAGUAAUAUAUGGGGGCUGCCCGAUAGAGGGGGAUAACUACUGGGAACGGUAGCUAAUACCGCAUCCUAUCGGAUAACCCAUAUGGGAUUAGCUAGUGGGUGAGGUAAUGGCCUACCUAGGCGACGAUCCCUAGCUGGUCUGAGAGGAUGAUCAGCCACACUGGGACUGAGACACGGCCCAGACUCCUACGGAGGCAGCAGUGGGGAAUAUUGCACAAUGGGCGAAAGCCUGAUGCAGCCAUGCCGCGUGUAUGAAGAAGGUCUUAGGGUUGUAAAGCACUUUCAGUCGGGAGGCGUUACCGACAGAAGAAGCACCGGCUAACUCCGUGCCAGCAGCCGCGGUAAUUC
Molecule: ribosomal RNA, 403 nt
Filed under: uncultured bacterium
Lineage: Bacteria
Description: partial 16S ribosomal RNA
Rfam family: Bacterial small subunit ribosomal RNA
Source: RNAcentral